AUAAAGACACAAUCAAUUGUCUUUGGUCCAAUCCUAACUUGUUUAGGUUUGGGUAUUUGUACUUUCGCUAAGCACCCCCACACUUUAAGAUAUUUGUAAGAAGGUUUUCGACCUUUCCAUAAUUCGUAAGGUGAUUCAACCUUAUCUUUGUGUGGUAUUUUAUUAAGGAUAUGAUUUGCAGAAAGUAUGGCUUCCCCCCACAAGUUUUGAGGUAAGCCCGAACUAAUCAACAUUGCAUUCAUCAUUUCCUUUAACGUUCGAUUUUUGCGUUCAGCAAUUCCAUUAGAUUGUGGUGAAUAUGGUGCCGUUGUUUGAUGAAUUAU
Molecule: long non-coding RNA, 323 nt
Filed under: Olea europaea subsp. europaea
Lineage: Eukaryota; Viridiplantae; Streptophyta; Magnoliopsida; Lamiales; Oleaceae
Source: RNAcentral